GAUGAACGCUGGCGGCGUGCCUAAUACAUGCAAGUCGAGCGAACAGACGAGGAGCUUGCUCCUCUGACGUUAGCGGCGGACGGGUGAGUAACACGUGGAUAACCUACCUAUAAGACUGGGAUAACUUCGGGAAACCGGAGCUACUACCGGAUAAUAUAUUGAACCGCAUGGUUCAAUAGUGAAAGACGGUUUUGCUGUCACUUAUAGAUGGAUCCGCGCCGCAUUAGCUAGUUGGUAAGGUAACGGCCUACCAAGGCAACGAUGCGUAGCCGACCUGAGAGGGUGAUCGGCCACACUGGAACUGAGACACGGUCCAGACUCCUACGGGAGGCAGCAGUAGGGAAUCUUCCGCAAUGGGCGAAAGCUUGACGGAGCAACGCCGCGUGAGUGAUGAAGGUCUUCGGAUCGUAAAACUCUGUUAUUAGGGAAGAACAAAUGUGUAAGUAACUAUGCACGUCUUGACGGUACCUAAUCAGAAAGCCACGGCUAACUACGUG
RNAcentral lists this ribosomal RNA (497 nucleotides) under uncultured bacterium. RNAcentral describes it as "partial 16S ribosomal RNA". It matches the Rfam family "Bacterial small subunit ribosomal RNA", at positions 28 to 507 of the family's 1533-position model. The record is from RNAcentral.